GACGAACGCUGGCGGCGUGCUUAACACAUGCAAGUCGAACGGUGAAGCGCCUUCCUUUUUGGUGGGUGUGGAUGAGUGGCGAACGGGUGAGUAACACGUGAGUAACCUGCCCCCUUCUUCUGGAUAACCGCAUGAAAGUGUGGCUAAUACGGGAUAUUCUGGGUCUGUCGCAUGAUGGGUCUGGGAAAGAUAUUGUUUCGGUGGGGGAUGGGCUCGCGGCCUAUCAGCUUGUUGGUGGGGUGAUGGCCUACCAAGGCGGUGACGGGUAGCCGGCCUGAGAGGGUGGACGGUCACACUGGGACUGAGACACGGCCCAGACUCCUACGGGAGGCAGCAGUGAGGAAUAUUGCACGAUGGGCGCAAGCCUGAUGCAGCGACGCCGCGUGAGGGAUGGAGGCCUGCGGGUUGUGAACCUCUUUCGCCAGUGAAGCAGGCCUGCCUCGUUUGUGGGUGGGUUGACGGUAGCUGGAUAAGAAGCGCCGGCUAACUACGUG
RNAcentral lists this ribosomal RNA (494 nucleotides) under uncultured bacterium. Its description in RNAcentral is "partial 16S ribosomal RNA". It matches the Rfam family "Bacterial small subunit ribosomal RNA", at positions 28 to 507 of the family's 1533-position model. The record is from RNAcentral.